RNAcentral lists this long non-coding RNA (226 nucleotides) under Elaeis guineensis (African oil palm). RNAcentral describes it as "long non-coding RNA (EGUI_LNC040058)". The record is from RNAcentral. Lineage: Eukaryota; Viridiplantae; Streptophyta; Magnoliopsida; Arecales; Arecaceae.
CUUGAUUAAUUUUUAAUUUGAUUAAAAUUUAAUCAAAAUUAUUUAUUAUCUAAUUAGAUUAGAUUUAGUGGUUUAAUUAGAUCUAACCUAAUUUGGUUGAAUUAAGAAUCAAAUUGAAUAAGAACUUGAAUUCGAAUUCGAAUUCAUUAUACCUUGCAUCUCCUUUCUUUGCACCCACCUUUUCUUCAUGCGAGAAAAGUUCUUACAUAAAUUUUUUCUCAUGCCC